CUGCCUAUUAGAGGGUGACGAGGUUGAUAACAGGUUAGUGUGUGUGUGUGUGUGUGUGUGUGUGUGUGUGUGUGUGUGUGUGUGUGUGUGUGUGUGUGUGUGUGUGUGUGUGUGUGUGUGUGUGUGUGUGUGUAGGGAUGACUGGAAAUGAGAAAACACCUCCGGCACACAGAGAAAGCCUUUUUGUUGUUGUUCUGAGCUCCAGACUACGCAUGUGUAUGUACACUCAACACUUUAUGGCCAAGAUUUCUCACCAUCAGCUGCUGCGAUUGAGUUUGAAAACUCUUCAACAUUUACAAUUAUUUCCAAAUUUGACUUGUUAACAGUCAUUCAAACAUUUUUUUGCAAACCAAAAGAAGCCUUUCGCAGCUGUGACGUGUGAACUGAAAGUGUGCGUGACGUGCAGGAAGCGUAAGAUUUCCAUCAAAGCAAACACAUACUUUUACAAAAAUGACUGUUGGUGUUUAUUAGGAACUUUAAAUAGAUAACAUCAAACCUUUUGUUUACAGACUCAGGAGCUGUACUCCUGACUCUGAAAGCUGCUUUAAAAUCAGCACAUCUAUUAAAGUUAUCCCAGGGCAGCUCUUCACAUUUUCAGAAAUUGUAAAAAUCAUUUCAAAACCGACACCAAGCACAUUUUUCUUUGAUGGUUUUUCUCUCACUUCACAAACUCCUCACAUUAAAUAUGUUAUUAUUCUACUGUGAGAUCUGCAGCGGGGUUAUCUGACUCUAAACCUGCAGCAGCUCUAUUCAUACAACUUCACUGCUUCGCUAUUUCAUGGACUGGAUUAUUUGAAAUUAAAAUAUUCACUUUUUUAACCAUA
Scophthalmus maximus (turbot) is the source of this 824-nucleotide long non-coding RNA. RefSeq lists it as uncharacterized. The record is from RefSeq and is a predicted model, not a curated record. The transcript is spliced from 2 exons. Lineage: Eukaryota; Metazoa; Chordata; Actinopteri; Pleuronectiformes; Scophthalmidae.